Molecule: long non-coding RNA, 28307 nt
Filed under: Citrus maxima (pomelo)
Lineage: Eukaryota; Viridiplantae; Streptophyta; Magnoliopsida; Sapindales; Rutaceae
Description: long non-coding RNA (CMAX_LNC000498)
Source: RNAcentral
GGGGAAAAAAAAAUCCGAGUGAUAAUUUCCAAAUCUCUCACUCUCUUAAGUUCUAAGAUAGAGAUGGCGCAAGUUAGCAUUUGCAGAGCUGUGGCUUUGGUUCUCUUCAUUGCAGCGCUUCUCUCAAUGACAGCUGUCGUCAGUGCACGGGAUGUCGACCUGGCGCCGUCGCCGAGCAUGGACGCCGGAGCUGCGUUCCCGGUGACUGUUUCCGCUGGCUUUGUUUGCUCCUCACUCUUCUUCUCAGUCAUUGCUCUACUAUUGCAGUAACAGGUUCUUGAGAGACUUGAGAGACUCAGAUUUUUAUUUUAUUUUAUAUUUAUAUUUAUUUUUAUUAUUAGGAUAUUUAUUAUUUUUGAAAAUUUUGGGUAUUUUUUUUUUUAAUUGCUAUUUGGUGGGAGUGCAUGUGUUUGAGUUGCUGAGAGUGAGAAUGUAUUAGUUUUAAUAAUGCAAUUAUUUUUUCCCCUAAUCUUUGGUUAGGGUUGUUUUUUCUUUUUAUUUUUUUUUAAUGGUCUUGAUAUUAUGUUCUAUUUUAAUUAUAAAAACUGGUAUUAUUAUUUAUCACCUUGCAUCUCUCUUUAAUAUUCAUCGGGCUUUAAACUUAAAAACUGCCAGAGAUCAUUUCUAUCAUAAGUAUUGUUAAUUUUGAAGUAUAUUAGUACAAAAACUAGCUGAAGGAAAUUGACUUUUAAAUAAGAAAAAAAAAUCUAUUUGGGUGGUUAAAAUCUAAUAAAGUUAAUUGAAAAUCUAUUGCAAAUUAAUAAUUCAAAAUCCGUGUCAUUAUUUUAAGCCAAAAAUUUCUCAAGAAAAAUUGACUUUAAAUAAGAAAAAAAUUCUAUUUAGGUGGUUAAAAUCUAAUAAAGUUAAUUAAAAAUCUAUCGCAAACUAAUAAUUCAAAAUCCGUGUCAUUAUUUUAAGCAAAAAAAUUUCUCAAGAAAAAUUGAACUGGGGAUAGUUUUAUGUAGUUUCGUACUUUCAAUUUCAAAUGGGCCGGUUUAAUAAUUAGACCAUUUACUUAAAAUCAUCAUACUUAUCUCGAAAUUCAUUUUUUUUUCCUCGCAUACUUUAUAUUAAUCAACAUAUAUAUAAAAAAUUUUAAUAGAAACACGAUGCUUUUCCAAAAUCCUCAUGGCAUACGAAGUCUUCAUCUCGAUUUGAUAUUCAACCAUAUCUGUUUUUUUUUUUUCUUUUCUUCAGGUUUCAUUUACCAUUAUAUUAUCCACUCGCAAAUGAGUGUUUGCAAAACCAACUAGGAAUAUGCAAAACCUGUGAGGUUGAUACAAAUUAAUUAACAAAUCUUGGUUUGCGGACAAUUGAUUUUAAUCAGUUCCCAACUCUUUUCAUUAUCUUCCGAAAGCAACUUGCAUCUGUUGAGGUUAACUGAUGAAGAAGAUACUCAAAAAUACAAACAAGAAAUUAAAAACAAAGGCAACAAGCAAGAGACAUGCAAAUUUAGAGGUGCCCUCUCUGUGUGGGGCUAAUGGUCAAUUUUGGAAUUAUCGUUCGAAUAGUCAAAAUUGAUUGUUUGAAAUUAACUACAAACGUGCUGUUCGGUAAAUUAUUUUAUUUGACUUCAUUCAGCCCGAGAUAUAUUAAUUUGGCACUUAAAAAUUAGGAAAAAAAAAAAGAAUAUUCUGGAUUAAACGAACUGGGAAAUUAAGAAGCUACACUUGUAAACCAAUUAUAUAGCCCGGAAAGACCUUGACUCCAAAAGAAAUCUACUUCAAUCUUUGGAAAAUUUUGAUACAAGUUCUAAACCAAUUAUAAGGACACUGACUUAUUGAGUCAUGAAUCAGUCUUCGUUUACUGAUUAUUUGAUUAUUUUUAUUGCCACAAUGACACAAAUUACGAAUUUAUAGAGUAGAAAAUAACUUGUCAUGAAUAGAAGAAGACCAUUUAUUUAUACAUGGAAUUAUGGAUUAAUAAAAGUCUUUGCUCCUCCAAAACCAAUUUUUAUUGAUUAUUUGAUUAUAUAUGUUGGACCAAAAAUAAAAUAAGCCUAAAAAGACCCAAAUAAAUUUAAUCUCAAUAAGGUUCAUCUAAUAAAUUUUCUCUCAAUUAAACUCAUAAGUGCUAGACAAAUCACCUAGAAUGAUCCUCCUAAGUAAUGAGAUUUCAAAACCCAAAAGAUGUCAAUAAUAAUAAUAGUAUUUAAUUUUUUUUUGGUGGAUUAUUUAUACCAAUUAUAAACUUAGAAUAAAAAAAUUGAAUGAAUUUAAAAUUUUAUAUUACUUUUGAUAACAAGAUAAAUAUAAAUAGAUGACUAAUAAUUUUUCUACAAUUAAUCCUAAUUCUUCAUUUUUGAAUUUGAGUGGCCAACAAAUAAAAUUAUUUGAAAACUACUCUAUCCUAAGAGUUAUUGGUAGAUGUGAUUGCUAACCACUAGAAAAAAAUAACAAAAAAGAAAUUUAAUUGAGGAAAAUCAAAUAUCUAAAAAGAUUUGUACCAAUCAUGUACACAAAUCAAACUCCCUCUGAAGGCCAGAGAAGACCUUGACUCACUAUUGUGUUUGAAAACGAGUGUUGCUAUUCAACGCGGGAAGAAGAUGAUUAUGGGCCUGCUCAUGGUGCCCUUUUCCUGGGUUAAAGUGUCUAUAUGAACUUUAUUAGAAUUUGCAGAAUCCAAUCAACCGAAAAAUUACAAUCAUGGAUCCGACUUCCUCCAUUUUCAGAUUGGCAGCCCUUUUAUGGGCUGUAAUAUUUACAUGCGAUAACGUUGCUGUUAGAACUGGUACAAUUGUCACAGCAUCUGCUUUGUCACCCAUACAGUUAGAAAAGAAAGCUUUAAUCAAUACUGGCUGGUGGAAAAGCACCAGGACGACGGCCAACUACUCUUCGGAUCAUUGCAAGUGGGAAGGCAUCACUUGCAAUUCAGCAGGAAGCAUAAUCGAGCUACACUUAUCAGGGGAUGAUGCUUACUACUUCAAUUGGCGGCUUGGCCAAUUAAACUUCUCUUGCUUUCCGAACCUCGUAAAUCUGACAAUCCAGUUAUUUGCUCUUACUGGAAGCAUACCACCAGAAAUUAGUGCUCUUUCAAAACUCCAACUGCUGGACUUGUCCUUCAACAGCCUUACAGGUAACAUACGAAAUUAACUUCAUUACCGCAUAAUUAACACGGUAGAUACACAUGUUUACCAUUGUUUUUGUUUUUUACUUAUGUUCUGUCAGCGUUUAAUUUCUUUAGCAUUUUUUUUCAUUAUUUUAGUAAACAAAUGACAUAAAUGUAUAUAAUAGGUACAAUCCCUUCAGAGAUUGGAAAUUUGAGGAAUCUUAUCAGUCUUGAUCUAUCUGUUAACAACCUUACCGGACCUGUUCCUUCAACUCUUGGUCGUUUAACGAAUUUGAAUUAUUUGAGCUUCUCUCGCAACAUGCUCCGUGGUCUACUACCACGGGAAAUUGGGAACCUGAAGAAUUUGAUCGAGUUGUAUGUGGGUGAUAGUAGCCUAAUUGGGCCAAUUCCUUCAACUCUAGGUCGUUUAACCAGCAUGAAAUAUUUGAUCCUUGCUGACAACCAACUCAGUGGGCUGCUACCUCAAGAAAUUGGGAAUAUGAGAAAUUUAAUCGAGUUGGACGUGGGCAACAACAGCAUAAUUGGGCCUAUUCCUUCAACUCUAGGUCGUUUAACCAGCUUGAAAUAUUUGAUCCUUGCUCACAACCAACUCAGUGGGCUGCUACCUCAGGAAAUUGGGAAUCUGAGAAAUUUAAUCAAGUUGGACGUGGGCAACAAUGGCAUAAUUGGGCAAAUUCCUUCAGCUCUAGGUCUUUUGACCAAUUUGAGCUAUGAGGAUCCUAGUUAUAACCAAUUCAACAGCUCAAUUCCAAAUGAGCUCGCCCGUUUAACUCAACUUCGUCAUCUUGAUCUUUCCUCAAAUAAACUUCUUGGAAAAAUUCCUCCAGAGAUAGAGAAUUUGAGGAAUCUCGUCCGUCUGAAUAUAUCUGAUAACGGACUUACAGGUAACCUACGAAAUUAACUUCAUUACCGCAUAUUAAUUGAAAAAAUGAUAAUAAUAAUUAACACGGUAAAUACAUCUGUUUGCCGUUGUUUUUACUUAUGUUCUGUCAGCGUUUAAUUUCUUUAACAUUUUUUUUCAUUAUUUUCGUAAACAAAUAACAUAAAUGUAUUUAAUAGGUACAAUCCCUUCAGAGAUUGGAAAUUUGAGGAAUCUUAUCAAUCUUGAUCUAUCUACUAACAACCUUACCGGACCUGUUCCUUCAACUCUUGGUUGUUUAACCAAAUUGAAUUAUAUGAGCCUCUCUGGCAACAUGCUCGGUGGUAUACUGCCUCAGGAAAUUGGGAACCUGAAGAAUUUGAUCGAGCUGGACGUGGGCAGUAACAGCCUAAUUGGACCGAUUCCUUCAACUCUAGGUCUUUUGACCGAUGUGAGCUAUUUGGAUCUUAGUCGUAACCAAUUCAACAGCUCAAUUCCAAAUGAGCUCACCUGGCUAACUGGACUUCUUGGUCUUAAUCUUUCCUCAAAUAAACUUUCUGGAAAAAUUCCUUCACAAAUAGCAAGUAUGGAGUAUCUAACCUCGUUGGACCUAUCAAAUAACAACAUAAAAGGUUCAAUUCCCGGUGAGAUCACUAUGUUAUCUCGACUUGAUUAUCUAAAUCUUUCCUCUAACAAACUUUCUGGGCCAAUACCAUUUUCAAAUGAACAACUCUCAAGCAUGCAUUCCGUAAGCCUCUCUCCUAACAAGGGUUUAUGCGGCGGCAAUUUUCUUCAUCUUCCUUCAUGCGAUACAACCAAACCUACCACUCUCUUUGUUGAAAUUUUUCUUCCCCUCGCCAUAGUUCCCUCAGUUAUAGUCUUUGCAUGCUUACUAGUCGUCAAACGUAAGUACAAGAAACCCAAAGUCAAGGCAAGAGCAACCAAUAGCAUAGAUGUAUUUUCAAUAUGGAAUUAUGAUGGUAGAAUUGUCUACGAGGAUCUGAUUGAAGCCACGGAAGAUUUUGACAUUAAAUAUUGCAUUGGUACCGGGGCUAUGGCAGCGUCUACAAGGCACAGCUUCCCAACGGCAAGGUAUUUGCAUUGAAAAAGCUUCACACUUCAGAAACAGAGGAAUUGGCAUUCAUCAAGAGUUUCCGAAACGAGGCUCAAGUACUUUCUCAAGUACUGCACCGUAAUAUUGUCAAAUUAUACGGUUUUUGCUUGCACAGAAAAUGCAUGUUUCUCAUUUACGAGUACAUGGAGAGAGGAAGCUUAUUCUGCAUUUUACACAAUGAUGAUGAAGCCGUAGAGUUGGAUUGGGCUAAGAGGGUGAACAUUGUAAAAGCCAUGGCACAUGCUUUGGCAUACUUGCAUCAUGACUGCUCACCAUCAAUUGUUCACCGCGACAUAUCGAGCAACAACAUUCUACUUAACUCAAAAUUGGAGGCAUUUGUUGCUGACUUUGGCACUGCCAGGCUUCUAUAUGCUGAUUCGCCCAAUCAAACUCUUUUAGCAGGAACAUAUGGAUAUAUAGCUCCAGGUUUACCCUUAUGAUAUCUAUUCUUCUCAUGAUCGAUCCUUUAUUUGGUUCAAUUUUAUUUUUUUUCCUUUAUAUUGCAGUCAUAUCAGUAACAUCUCUCUUAAAUAGAUAGCCAGCUGGCUAGAGAAACUCACAAAUGGAAUUAUCUCCUUUAUUAGUGGGAAGCUACAUUCUAUGAUUACUUUGCCUCGUAUAAGUCUUUUUUUUUUCUUUUUUUUUCUUUCUGCAGAACUUGCUUACACCAUGGUUAUGACGGAGAAAUGUGAUGUUUAUAGCUUUGGAGUAGUGACACUUGAAGUAUUAAUGGGAAAGCAUCCAAGGGACCUUCUUUCAUCAUUAUCAUCAUCAUCUGAUCCAAAGAUCAUGCUGAUUGAUAUUUUAGACCAACGUCUUCCACCUCCAGUUGAUCGAAAGGUUAUUCGAGAUAUCCUUCUUGUUUCAACAGUUUCAUUUGCAUGCUUGCAAUCAAACCCAAAGUCUCGACCUACAAUGCAGUCCCUAUCUCAAGAAUUUCUCAUCACUCGCAAGACUCCAUGGGUAAAGCAUGCUGCUAUUCAAGAUAUUUCCAUCUCACAACUUAGAAACUAAUAAAAGGAUGUAUUUGAUUGAUCAAUGUGAUUUGCUAAUCUUAAAUGUAUUUCAUUGAUGGUAUUUUGCUAAUCUUAAACCAACUUGGAGAGGUUGCACUUAUGUAAUAUCUCAAAAAAAAAAAAAGGAUAAUUGUUGUUGACACCAAAAGUAGUCUCUACUUCAAUCUUUGGAAAAUUUUGAUACAAGUUCUCAAUUUUCCACAAGAUAAUUGUUGUUGGUGGUGUCUGGCUCGUUUUAGAAAUUGUUAGAAAUUGUAUAACCGUACCAUAACAACUUGAGUCAUGAAUGGAAGACCGUUGAUUUGUACAUGGAAUUAUGGAUUAAUAAAAGUCUGUGUGGCUCCAAAACCAUUUUUUUUUAUUAUUUGAUUAUUUUUAUCGGCAGAAUGACACAAAAUAUAAAUUUAUAGGGUAGAAAAUAACAAAACAAAUAAAAAUAUUAUAGUACUAAUUAUUUUACAAUGGUAAUUCUGUCAAUUUGAUAGAUAAUUGAUACAAAUAGUAAACUUAAGGUGAAAAAUAAAAAAUUAAAUAAAUUUAAAUUUUCAAAGUAUUUUUUCUGUGUGAAUUGCAAGUGCAAAUAAGGUCAGCAAGUUUUGCUAUUGUGCUUAGGAAAUCUUCUUCCAUCCACAUUAUUUUUAUAAAUUAAUAUCGUGUGCAAUAAUUGUUGUAACUCAUGAGUUCUCCGAACUGUAAAUCAAAGUGGGAAUAUUCCCAUAUUGUGGCAUGACAUGGGCUUUUCUUCUCAAUCAAAUUUAAAAAAAAAAAAAAUUGGAUUCUCUAUUUCACUAUUUAAUUAAGUAGACUGCAGAUAUAAAUGUAGACAAAUUAUUAGCCUUACUUCACAGAAGUUUCAUUGCUUGUCGUUUUGCAUUCGCACAUUAGAGUGAUCAAUUGAAUUGGAACCGCAGUGUUGAAGUUGAUAUGGUAAAAGCGAAAAUGACUAGAUGUUCCGCAAAGUCUAAAAUUCAAGAAAUUGAAGCACCAAUCAAGUGAUCAAAUUCUGUCAUGUAAUUAAUUAUCAUCAGUUGGCUUGAAGGUCAUCAAGAAGGUAUUGGAUUGACAAAUUAAAUUACAUUGCCCUUUCAUUUCAUAAAUGGUAAAGAAAUAUAAUAUAAGACUUAGGUCAUGUUCAGUAUUUAGGUAUUGUAAUUUCUAAGUUAUAAUUAUUGUGAAACAAAAGCUGUAACGAUAAAUUAAAAGGUGGGAGUGUAUAAUCAAUAUAACUUUUAACUAAUAAUUUUGACAAAAAAAAAUUAUAAAAAUAUUAUAGGCUUCUCAUCAUAUAAGUGUGGGAUCAAAUCAACUUAACUUUUAUACCACAAUUGACAUUACUUACUAUAUAAUUUUGUGGUAUAACUUAAAAAAUUAUAACUACCUAACAUCGAUACCAAACAAGACCUUAGUCUGCAAGCAUCUAUCAUUCCUUCCUUGUUUUAAAAUACUAGUCGUAUUAAGUCGUGAACUUGAAAUCAAUCUAACGGUACAAAGUUUUUUCCAAGUUCCAUUAGCACCAAAUUUUCCUUUGCUUCCUCUGUUUCCUCAGCUAAACGCCACUAAAGAUAUCAAAAUUAUUGCUUGUUUGUUUAUGGAUUUUAGCUAUCGGUAUGAUACAUCCGCUGAGACCUCGGGUGCAUUUUUUCCUGCUCAAAUACCGAAUAGUCACUAACCAACCAAUAUGAAUUCUUGAAAAAGAACCAUAAAAAAAAAAUGAUUCUUUUAUUCAUAUUUCUCCAGAGAGAAAGAAGAAACAAUAAUUAAGAGCUGAAAUUAAGAAAAAAAACAAGAAUCUUUUGGAUUAAACGAACUUGGAAAGAAGCUACACUUGUAGACAAAUUAUAUGGCCCCGAAAGACCUUGACUCCAAAAGAAAUCUACUUCAAUCUUUGAAAAAUUUUGAUACAAGUUCUAAAUUUUCCACAAGAUAUCCCAAAAUGUAAUUUUCAAACAAUUGCUGUCGCUCAUUUUAGACGUUUAGGAAUUGUUAGAACUUGUAUAAGGACAAUGACUUGACUCAUGAAUAAAAGACCAUCGAUAGAUUAAUAAAAGUCUGCGUGUGGCUCCAAAAAAAUAAAAAUUAUAUAUACAUAUAUAUAUAUAUAUUAAAGCAAAAGAAAAUGUGUAAUUUUUGGUGGAUUAUUUUUAUUUUAUAAAUAAAUUUAAUGUAUAAAUAAAUUAAAUCGCAAAAAUGAAAAAAUACUGUUGGAUAAAAUAUAAUUACCAAAGUGCAGAUUUAUGAGACCAUGAUGGAAUGGAUAUUUUACAUUUAGAUGAAAAAUUAGGGGUAUUAUUGGUAUUAAGAGUUAGGUAUCUAAACAAAUCCGUUGAAGAUGUGCGCGGAGUGAUGUAACAGGAAUUAAAAACGUGACAGUUGACAGUUACCAACUGAUUGAAACUAUUAAAAUGACUCAUUUAUAACUGAAAAUGGCCGCUCAACUAAUUUGAUAACAAACCAUGGUUAUCAAAUUAUAUAGCCCGGAAAUCUACUUCAAUCUUUGGAAAAUUUUUAUACAAGUUCUAAUUUUUCCACAAGAUAUCCCAAAAUGUAAUUAAUAAAAGUCUGUGCCGCUCCCAAAACCAAUUUUUACUGAUUAUUUGAUUACUUUUAUUGCCAGAAUGACACAAAUUACAAAUUUAUAGGGUAGAAAAUAACAAAACAGAAGCAAAAUAUAUAUAUAUAUAUAUUAUAGCACUAGUUAUUUUACAAGGGUAAUUCUGUCAAUUUGAUUGAUAAUUGAUACAAUAAAGUUAAGGUGAAAAAUUAAAAAAAUUAAAAUUUUUGAAGUAUCUUUUACAAUAAAGCAAGCUUAAGGUCGAUAAUCGAUAAUUUUCCUAUCAUUGCUAACUUAUGUUUUGGUAAUUUUAGAAGUUACGUCGCAGUGCAUCAUGCGCCAACUUUUGCUUCAAUUGAGGCAUUAAAUAUUUUUUAUUAUUAUUUAAUUUUUACUAUAAAACAAUGGCCCAACACUCGGCAUGUCAAAAACAAAAACGGUUCACGUUCUUGGACACACGCUGGUGCCGCAUCAGUUGGGUCAUUGCAUUUCGAGUCUUUGGUAGACAUUAUUCGUUUAUGCUGGGGCCAGUUUUUCAUUUAACUACAAAAUUACUUUUAUGGAAACCCAUAAAAUAAUUUUGUUUAUUAAUUAAUUAUAUUACAUUUUCAACGAUUAUCAAAUUCUCAUUCGAGUUCAUUAUUUAAGUGGCAAUGCGUUAUCUAAAUAAUCUCAAAUGAUGUAUUAAACAAAUAUUUUGAGGAACAAAGCUUAUUAUGUUUCUUCUUAUUAGUUGUAUUUUUAAUUUUUUAUUAAAAAAAUUCUCUCAUAUUCGAUUAAAAAAAAAAUUUUCAGCCACCCGCAUAAAGGUUGUUAGCUUCGCGGUUGAAUGGGGCUAAAUUAUGUAUUGUUUGACUAGUGAAACUCUUACCACAUCGGCUAAUAGGCUGCUUUUGGAUCCCUUAUUCUAACUUUUAUCAUGACUUGGCACUUGGCAGUGGUGACAGCAGAGCUUGUUCAUAUUGGUAGAAGUGAAAGCAAAUUAAGGAGAGACAGAGAGACUAAUUAAGGUAACUAAAUACAUACGUCCACUAAGUUUAAUAUAGCGAAGUCCUGGAUCAGUCGCUUUGCUGAAAUGAUUUCAAAUAAUCGCCCACUGUGAUUGACAAUUUUCUCUUAUUUAAGUUUUGGUGAAAUGAAGCCCAUCCACAUAAAAUAAUUGAUAGGAAGUGUUCAGGAGAAAAGAUCAGCCUGAUUCAAUGCCUAGGGAUGUUACAAUCAUUUUUUGUUACUAAAUAUUUUUAAAUUAGGAUAAUGUAUUAAUGGAAUAAAACUUUUUGUAAUCUGACAAUUGAUAUACAAAAACCAGAAUCCUAAUUAAAUUCAAAUAAUCAUUAUAAUCAACAUCUAUAGGAAAAAGAAAAACGAGAAGCAUAUGCAACAAAAAUCAAUUCGUGAGGGAGGAAAAUUUACCUUAAUUAUUGAUGUGUUCUCUUCAGGAAUUUUAAUCUCUUGGUACUGAACUUUAUUUUUGCUUAAUUUAUUUCUAUCUCACGAGAACUUGCUAUCAUAGAACAUAUAUAUUUUGAGAGUCGGACUAUUGACACCCCUCUAAAUUCUAUUGAAAUCCCUUUUUUAAUUAUAUUCCAUUUAAAACCAAAAAUACCCUUUUUUAAUUUAACACUCUUUUCAUUUAUGAAUUUUUUAGUUUUCUCUCUUCAAACUUUCUUUAUUAUUUAAUUUCUAAAGCAAAAAAUCUAAAAGAAAAACUAAAAGAAAAUAAUGAAUAUUUUAUGGGUUUAAUAUAAUUAUCUUACCUAUAAAUUUUGGAUUCGUUGGGUUCAAAAAUUAGUUUGAGAAUCCUUAAGAAAUUAAUUAAAUUAGGGUAAAAUUUUAUUUAAUUUAUUUUUCCACUGUGUUGUAUCUUAAUUAAGUUUUUUUUUUGUUACAAGAACUCUAUUUUGGCUUAGAGGAUUACUUCUUAAAUUCAAAUUAUUUUAAUGAUAAUAAAAAAUUUGUGCAAGCAAAAAAAAAUAAGGAGAGAACGAAAAUAUAAAUGAUUUUAAUUUUAUUUAUAUUUGUCGUUAAACGUAAUUGUAAUGUAGCAGGGGUUUUAUGAGAUUAAUGAAGGAGUGCCAAUAGUCCAACUCAUAUUUUGAUGGUAAACUUGAACAAAUUGUUUAACGGGAAAAAAAAAAAGAUUUGAAAUAAUAUUAUAUUACUGCAAGAAAAAAUGUCGGUAACUUUGAUUUGGUGUAUCUUGGGCCACGUACGUACUUAAAAUUUGGGCAAGCAUCAGGAAAAGAGAAGUGACGGUAACAAUAAAAUUAUAUUGUUGGAGGAAAAGAGAUUUCCCAACAUCCGUCCUCUGACCGACCGAUCCUACAUGAUCCCUGUUCAAAUUGGCCCACGAAUGUUCCACGUGUCAAAACUUGGCCACGUCAUCUCUCAACUGGUUAUAACGGAUGAUAAUUUGGAGGGAAAAGCUACUUACCCCGGCAUUAACCCCGAAUUCGGGCCCCGAAUAUUGGCAAAAACAGUGCGUUUUGCUUUGCUUCAAUAGUAUUCCAGCUGUGCAGCACGUGAGCAUUCUGUUUGUCUUUCUAUUUGCGCAUGAACCACAGCUUUCUGCUCAGAAUUUCCAAACUUUUUGCUUGAUGCUCUGAUCGAACCUCUAAUUAAUUAAUUUAUUUAUUUAUUCUGAGCUCAGUGCUGCUUUUACUUGCUUGCUCAAGUAAAUAUGUAUCACUUUGCUAUCAAGUGGCAUUCUUAGACAUGCAAAGAAUUAAAUGAUAUAUGAGAUGCUGCCAAUUCUCUUAUAGCUUCUUUCCUCAAUGAGUGCAGUACUCCCCCACAUUAUUCUGUCAGCAUCCUUCCUCCAUCGGCCAAAGCAUUGGCGUCGGUUUUCAUUGGGUGAAAUUUUCUUUUGCUGGGCUGUAUGCGUGAAUAUGUUGAUUUCAUUCAACUUUAGAAAAUAGUCCAACAAUGUUCAAUUGCGAUGAAGAUUGCAUUCGUAAUACUUAGAUUUUAUGAUCAUGAUUCUUUAUCUUCUUUGGUGAUAGAAAGAAUCAUGAUCAUUCCACGAUACAGAGUCAUCAUACACUAAACUAAAAUAUAAGAAAACAUUCAAAUGCUUCACCAAUCUUUCUGGUGAAGCAUUUGAAUGUUUAAUUUUCAAUUGUUCUUAAUUGUAAUUUUAUUUAAAGUGGGGAUUUUUAAGAAUAAUGUAGGGGUGCCAAUAGCUCCACUCAUGAAUUUUAGUUGAAACAAAAGUAGGCCCAUAAUUACAAAGAAAAGUAGCCCAGUAUUAUUCACAUCAUUGACAAAACUCGAAGCAGAGCACAGUUUCAAACUCGAAACAAAAUGCCAGCAUUUUGGGGGUGCAUCCAUUGCUCAAGAGUUUUUUGUUUUUAUAUGCCACAAAAGUGCUUAUUUUCCAAAUAUAUAUCCCUUCUUUCCAUUUAUUCACUUAUAUACGACAAAUUCACCUGCAUUCAAAUACACCCAUUUGUGAAUUACAAGUUAAUUUUCAUUUCUGACUCAAAAUUUUCCUCCCGCUUUCCCAAUGUUAAGGUCUCAUUGUUUCCUUGCGUGUAAUAAAGUGAAGGUGAUUAUAUAGAUUUAGACUAUCCCAAUAUUUAUUUUGAUUCCUUAAAAAAUUAAUUUAAUGGGUCUCAAAAUUAUCUUUUUAAUUGUCGUAGUUCUUGUAAAAAUUAUUCAUCAAGUAUGGCGGGGUGAGAUUUUGUGUAGUUGAAAAUUUACUCUACCACAGUCAUGUACAAAUAAAGUAAUAGUCAAGUUUUUGAGAAAUUAUUGUGUCAUAAUCACGCACAAGCCGGGUGAUCAUCGACUAAUUGAAAUGGUCAGGCACAAGUCAGGAGGAUAAUUGGGUAUGAAUCCAAGUGUCAUAAGAGUGAGAUAAAAGGUCGCGUAAUUUUUAGAUAGAGGUUGAGUAAUUAAUAAUUAUAGUCGAUGGAUAAUGGUAAGGUAAAAACUGAAAAAUGGAGAAUAAAUAUACUCUUUAAAGAUAUUUACGACUUUUUCUUAAGAAAUUAUCAUAAUAAUGGGCUUACUAUGUAUGGUGUCAUAUUUGUAGAAUUUAGGAUUUUUUUUCAUGGCGUAAACGGUGCAAUUUCUUUCCAUUGCUCGAUUUGAAACUGCAUUAUUGUCUACCGAUUUUAAAUUCCAGUGGCCAGAUUAUUUUAAAACACGUAGUUUACUUAUAAUUCGUAAUAAUAUUGAAAUUCUAAUUUAUUUUGGACACAGCUUCUUCUAGUAGCAUGCUCCCAAGUCUAAAAGUAUUAUGAAGAUCGACUUGGUGCAUAAUCCCAAGUCUAAAUGAAUUUUAAUUAAUUAAGAUUAUUCUUAUUGGUCAAGCUUUCAAGUAGAUUACACAUAUUAAUUUGUAGUAGAUUAAUUAUUUAGAAGUAAAUGGAAGGCCUAACAACUUUUUUAACAAACUGAAACAGAAUUAAAGCAGAGGAGGGAAAAAUUAAUUGUGUUUGUGCAUAAUGUAUAUGACUAACUAACUAACUACGAGUUUAGCUGCCUGCCACAUCAGCAUAUAUAACAGAUAACUAAUAUCUCUCUAAACUAUAUUUUCGCAUACAUAAAUAAAUAAAAAAUUGUAAUUAAUUGGAUACAGCUUCAGCUUUCGGACUGGUUUGUGAAAAUCGGAAAAAUUUAAAAAUGCUCCUCUUGAACAAUCAUUUAUACGUGAACAAAGGGGAUGAUUCGUAAAGAUAAUCCAUCAAUGUUUAAUUACUUUCGAGCGUAUCAGAUUACUUUCAGAAAGAAAGACUUCAUUUGAUCUCGUCAACUUAAAAACUCAGAUUCCAUUUGUAAGAGAGUACAUUGCUCUUUUUGGUGAAAAAUAGUUUAACCGAAAUCCCCUUCAUCCAAUUUUUUUCUUUUUCUUUUCUUAUUAAGAAAUAACAAAAAAAAGCAAUGUUAUUGAGAAUAAUCCAAAUAUAUAUGUAGAUUUAAACCAAUCAUAUUCACAAACCAAAUUCCCUCAAAAGCCUUAAAGGCCAGAGAAGACUUUGACUCACUAUUGUGAUUGAAAAACGUGUGUGGCGAUUAAUGUACGGGAGGAGGAUUUAACGCGGGAAGAAAAAUAGAAGACGACUAUGAGUCUGCUCAUGGUGUCCUUUUCCAGGGUUAAAAUGUUUAUAUAAACUUUGUAAGAGCUCAAUCAACCGAAAAGUUAAUUAUAAGCAUGGAUCCGGCAUCCUCCAUUUUCAGAUUGGCAACCCUUGUAUGGGUUGCAAUUUUUACAUGCGAUAACGUUGCUGUUAGAACUGGUACAUUUGUCACAGCAUCUGCUUUGUCACCCAUACAGUUAGAAACGAAAGCUUUACUCAACACUGGCUGGUGGAACAACAGCUUCUGGACGGCCACCUACUCUUCGGAUCACUGCAAGUGGACUGGCAUCACUUGCAAUUCAGCAGGAAGCAUAUUCGAGCUAUACUUAUCAGGGUAUUAUGCUGACUUCAAUUGGCGGCUUAGCCAAUUAAACUUCUCUUGCUUUCCGAACCUCGAAAAUCUGACAAUCCAGUUCUUUACUCUUACUGGAAACAUACCACCAGAAAUUAGUGCUCUUUCGAAACUCCAACAGCUGGACUUGUCCUUGAACAGACUUACAGGUAACCUACGAAAUUAACUUCAUUACCGCAUAUUAUUUACAUGCGAUAACGUUGCUGUUAGAAUUGUCACAGCAUGCAACCGUUGCCUUUCUUGAAUAUUUGUAUUGAGUAAAAUUUGGUAAGAAACAGCCUUCUUAGAAUUGUCACAGCAUGCAACCGUUGCCUUUCUUGAAACUAACAAAGGAUGAUCAAUAUAAUUGCUAAUCUUAAAUGUAUUUCGUUGGUAGUAUUUUGUAAAACUUUGGUGAGGGUGAAUAUUGGUUUCAUGAAAGCGUUACCUUUCUUGAAUAAAAAUGAAAGUAACUCUUCUAAAUUGAAAUUGGUGCUUCCAAUCUAAACUAUUAAAUCUUUAAUUAUUUUUUCUGUGCGAAUUGCAAGUGCAAAUAAGGUCAGCAAGUUUUGCUAUUGUGCUAAGUCAUAUUUGGUAUUAAUGUAUUGUAACUUUUAACAAAUAACUACUUUAGAACCAAAAUGUAAUUAUAAAAUAAAAGUUGAGAGUGUAUAAUCAAUAUAAAUUUUAACUAAUAAUUUUAACAAAAAUAUUAAAAAUAUUAUAGGCUUAUCAUUAUACAAGUGUGAGAUCAAAUCAACAAACAAGAUACUCAAAACUAACUUUCAUUAUUACAAAGAGCAAUAAAUUAAAAACAAAGGCAACAAACAAGAGACAUGCAAAUUUAGUGUGCUCUCUUUGUGUGAGGCUAAGGGUCAAUUUUGGAAUUAUUGUUCUAAUAGUCAAAAUUGAUUGUUUGAAAAGCUACAAACGUGUGUGCGUUGCUGUUCGGUAAAUUAUAUUAAUUUGACACUUAAAAAUUAAGAAAAAAAAAAAAAGAGAAUAUUGGUGGUGUCUGGCUCGUUUUAGACGUUUAGAAAUUGUUAGAAAUUGUAUAACCGUACCACAACAACUUGAGUCAUGAAUGGAAGACCGUUGAUUUGUACAUGGAAUUAUGGAUUAAUAAAAGUCUGUGCGGCUCCAUAACCAAUUUUUUUUAUUAUUUGAUUAUUUUUAUCGCCAGAAUGACACAAAAUAUAAAUUUAUAGGGUAGAAAAUAACAAAACAAAUAAAAAAAUUAUAGUACUAAUUAUUUUACAAUGGUAAUUCUGUCAAUUUGAUAGAUAAUUGAUACAAAUAGUAAACUUAAGGUGAAAAAUAAAAAAAUUGAAUAAAUUUAAAUUUUCAAAGUAUUUUUUUCUGUGUGAAUUGCAAGUGCAAAUAAGGUCAGCAAGUUUUGCUAUUGUGCUUAUUUCCAUAUUGUGGCAUGACAUGGGCUUUUCUUCUCAAUCAAAUUUUAAAAAAUAAGUAGACUGCAGAUAUAAAUGUAGACAAAUUAUUAGCCUUACUUCACAGAAGUUUCAUUGCUUGUCGUUUUGCAUUGGCACAUAAGAGUGAUCAAUUGAAUUGGAACGGCAAUGUUGAAGUUGAUAUGGUAAAAGUGAAAAUGACUAGAUAUUCCGCAAAGUCUAAAAUUCAAGAAAUUGAAGCACCAAUCAAGGGAUCAAAUUCUGUCAUGUAAUUAAUUAUCAUCAAUUGGCUUGAAGGUCAUCAAGAAGGUACUGGAUUGACAAAUUAAAUUACAUUGCUCUUUCAUAAAUGGUAAAUAAAUAAAAUAUAAGACUUAGGUCAUGUUAAGUAUUUAGGUAUUGUAAUUUUUAAGUUAUAACCAUUGUGAAACAAAAAUUGUAACUAUAAAAUAAAAGUUGGGCGUGUAUAAUCAAUAUAACUUUUAACUAAUAAUUUUGAUAAAAAUUAUAAAGAUAUUAUAAGCUUCUCAUCAUACAAGUGUGGGAUCAAAUCAACUUAAUUUUUAUAUCACAAUUGGCAGUACUUACUAUAUAAUUUUGUGCUAUAACUUAGAAAAUUAUAACUACCCAACAUCGAUACCAAACAAGACCUUAGUCUGUGAGCAUCUAUCAUUCCUUCCUUGUUUUAAAAUACUAGUCGUAUUAAGUCUUGAACUUGAAAUCAAUCUAACGGUACAGAGUUUUUUCCAAGUUCCAUUAGCACCAAAUUUUCCUUUGCUUCCUCUGUUUCUUCAGCUAAACGCCACUAAAGAUAUCAAAAUUAUUGCUUGUUUGUUUCUGGAAUUCAGCUAUCGGUAUGAUACAUCCGCUGAGACCCCGGGUGCAUUUUUUCCUGCUCAAAUACCUAAUAGUCACUAACCAACCAAUAUGAAUUCUUGAAAAAGAACCAUAAAAAAAAAAUGAUUCUUUUAUUCAUAUUUCUCCAGAGAGAAAGAAGAAACAAAUAAUUAAGAGCUGAAAUUAUGUAAUUAAAUAUGGCAAUACAUAAUAUACAAGUUACCUACGGUUGGUCACUUGUAAUAUUAUGAUACAAUUAUCUACGGUUAAUCCAUGCAUGGUUCGCUUGUAAUUUAUUGUCUUUUUAUUUUAGUUUUUCAAUUAUUAUUAUUAAUAUUUUAGUUUCUUUAGUGAAAGAGAGGAAUUAUUUAGUCCGGAAUCCUAGAAUUCGGACAAACGGUGGGUUCCAACAUAUAUGCAGUAGAUAAAUAAAGAGAGCAAAGGCUGUUGGAUUGCAAUACAGAGUUUUCUAGAUAAUUUCCUAAUAAAGUAUAUUUAUCUCAUCAUAAUUAGUUUUGGUGGUUUAUAAAUGUUGAAAGUGUAAAUUUUGAAAUUUCACCUACUUUUAAUUAAAUUUUAAAUAACCUAAGAUAAAUUUUCAUGAUCGAAAAAAGCAGAUAAUUAUUUGAGGAACCAUGUUAUGAUACAUUAUAAUGUAUCAUAUAUUAACCUAUUCCAACAACGUAAAACUUGAUUCAAUAAAACUACGAUUGAAUUUACAAAAAUAACUUUUGGAUUUGAUGCAUCAUACAUUAUCAGUAUAAAUUAUCCUAGCAACAUCCUAAUUUAAUAAUCACUUUUAGAAUAAGUUUACUAUUUAUUUUUUUGUAAAAAUAUUUUUUUUAUUCCUUUACAUACAAUAAAUAUAUAAUUUAUUCUAGCUCAAUCAAAGAUGUCUAUUCUAAAAUGAAAUAAGAUUUCAUAAUGUCGUUAUCUAAAAUUUCUGAAUUAUUUAAGAGUAAAAUUAAUAAAAUAAUUUACAUAAUUGAUUGCCAAUAAUAUUGUAAGGUUAUAUUUAUGAUAACGAUUAAUAAUCUCAUUAAUUUCUGAUAAAGUUAUAAAAAAUUAUUUAAAAAUUUAGAAAAGCUAUUACAAAUAUUUUUGUUUCUAAAGUUAAAUUUAUUUUUAGGGAGAUAAUAAUAAAGUAAUUUAGAAAAGAAAAAUGAAAAGAAAAGACGACCAUAACCAUUGGACCUUAGCGGCUAGUUUGUCAGUAAAGCAACCGAGUCAAAAUUUUCUUUAAGCAACGAAACAACAGCACAACGACUUUUGAAGAAGGUAAGUACUAAGUUAUAUGUAAUAUAAUUUACACCACUCAUUUAAAUAGUGAAUAAACUCCACAUUAUUUUUUAUUCAUGUGCAUAAGUGUGAGUUAUAUUACAUGUAACUUAAGGCUCCCUAAGCCACUCGGCCUUUGGCCGAGUGGUGAGAGCUACUGCUCUCCAAUUUGGAGAGCAGCAGUUCGAACUCCCACAAUGCAUUGCGGGGGUCUUCAUUUCUCAAGUAAAUUUGAGUGAAGGCAGUCUGCUUCCUUACCCAAGUGUGAGGAGUAGACAUCUCUCAAAUAUUUGAGAGGGUUAAAAUCUGGGCAGCGCUCCAUUAGUAUUGAUGUAUGUUGGUCCCAGUUAUAGUCUGAUUUGUAAAUAUCAGUUAUAUUCUCAUAUAAUAUGAGUUGUAAUUUGAACAAUAGUCUCGUGUAAUAAAAAAAAAAAAACUUAAGGCUCCCUUCGAAGAAUUAAAACUCACUACUGUGCGCCACGUAUCGGCCUAUGUUCCUCUUUGUCGGUUACGUCGCUCUGCUCUCAACGACCUUUGUGUUUUUCAUGUUUUAUUUUUUCGAAAGACUUAACGAUCUUUGUUUACUUUAUGUCUAAAGAGCAAGCUCUCCUCAACUCACAGCCGUUAGAUUAGAUUCUUUUAGCUAUUCGACGGCCAAAAAGGUAACAAGACUAAAAGUAAAGGGAGCCGUUGUGGGAUCCGCUUGAAUGAUGGAAACCCGACACGUCGCUAUCAAAUUUCUUUUUAAAAUAUGUGGUGGUAGUGGUAAUAACAUUAAGUCCCUAAAUUUUUGAAACAUCAUAACUAAAGACAUAUCUUGCAAAAAUAUUCAUAGAAGUCCUAUCCUUAGAAUUUGUUAAAGAAUCACAAGUAAAAUCAAUCAUUUAACAGUUAAAUGGGUGAAAAUUAAAACAGAAUCUAAUUUAAAGAUAUGUUAAUCAUGCUUUUAUCAAUCGUGUGCUAAAUUAGCGUUUUAAGCUUUUUAGCUUGGCCGAACUUGUGCCGCCCAAAAUUUUCACUAGGAAGAAUACCAUAAAUAAUCCAACCUAAACUACUACAACAGGGUCUCUGCAAAAAUAUUAUCUUUCACUUAUGACCUUUUAUUUAAAUUUUUGUAGACAUUAGGGACCUUCUUGCUAUUAUCUCAAAAGAAAUCAGGUUCUUCAAGCCUAUAAAUACAAAGAGAGUCAUUCACAGUUGCUCAUGUUAGUAUGUUACAAAACCAAAACAAGAUAUAAUUUGGAGAAAAGAAGAUUCAUAUCACAAAAUCAAAAUCUCUCACUCUUUAAGUUCUAAUACAGCGAUGGCGCAGGUUAGUAUUUGCAGAUCUGUGGCUUUGAUUCUCUUCAUUGCAGCAGUUCUCUCAAUGACAGCUGUCGGCAGUGCACAGGAUGUCGACCUGGCGCCGUCGCCGAGCAUGGACGCCGGAGCUGCGUUCCCUGUGACUGUUUCCGGUGGCUUUGUUUGCUCCUUACUCUUCUUCUCAGUCAUUGCUCUACUAUUGCAGUAAUAGGUUCUUGAGAGACUGAGAUUUUGAUUUUAUAUUUUAUAUUUUAUUUUUAUUAUUAGGAUAUUUAUUACUUUUGAAAUUUUUGGGUAUUUUUUUAAUUGCUAUUUGGUGGGAGUGCAUGUGUUUGAGUUGCUGUGAGUGAGAAUAUUGGAAAUGGAUCCGGUGCUCAGCUGAGCUUGUUCUGAGCACCGGAUCAAUGGUCAGCAAUUAUUUAGGGCCCACAUAAAGCCUAGCACAGCUAAGCAUUGGAUCAUGAUCCGAGAAUAUUAGUUUUAAUAAUCGAUUAUUUUUCCUCUAAUCUUUGGUUAGGGUAGUAUUUUCUUUUUAUUUUUUUUACGGUCUUGAUAUUAUAUUAUAUUUUAAUUAUAAAAAUUGGUAUUGUUAUUUAUCAUCUUUCAUCUCUCUUUAAUAUUCAUCGUGCUUAAUAUUGUUAGCUCCAUUUUACUUCGCUACUAAAAAUGUCCCAGAGAUCAUUUCUAUUAUAUGUAUUGUUGAUUUUAAGUAUAUUUAGUACAAAAACUAGCUGAAGGAAAUUGACUUUAAAUCAGAAAAAAAAUCUAUUUAGAUGGUUAAAAUCUAAAGUUAAUUGAAAAUCUAUUGCAAAUUAAUAAUUCCAAAUCCGUGUCAUUAUUUUAAGGCAAAAAUUUAUCAAGAAAAAUUGAACUCGGAUAGUUUUAUGUAGUUUCAUACUUUCAAUUUCAAAUGGGCUGGUUUAAUAAUUAGGAGUGGCGCUAUCGGCACCCCCCUGAUAUCCUUCUCAAACCCCUUUUCUGUUUAUUUCCUCCUUAAUUCCUAAAAUAGCCUUUAUCUGUAAUUUUUCCGCAAACAAUUUCAACCUCCUUUGGAUAACAACCAAAUAUUUUGUAUCCUAUGCGCUUAAUUUAUUAUGAGGUUUCUAUUUGUUUUAGUUUUAUACUUUUCAGUUUAUGAAAUUAUAUUUCAAAAUAAAUAUGUAUAAAAUACACUCAGAUAGUGUUUGGUUUUAAGAAAUGGGAGGAGAAGAAAAGAGUGGAAUGAAGGGGAAAGGAGAAGAGAAUAGUGAAAUUAAAUUUUAUUAUUUAGUUUGACAUAAAAUUUAAUAGAAAAAGGAAUUGUAAUUUUUUUCUUUGGACAAAUUUAUCCUUUACCUUAAAUAUUAAAUUAUCUAUAUUACUAAUAAAAUAUAAUUUAAUAUUAAUACUAAAAUUUUUUAAUUUUAAAAAGUUCUAAAACAAUUUUAUGAUUUAUAUUUAAUAUAAAAUAAUUUAAUAUCUUAAACUAUUUAAUAUUAAAUAUAAUUUAAUAUAAAUAAAAGUCGGUCAAUAUAAGUCAACGCCGGUCAACAUCGGCCGGCUAUUUUCCGACGGAAGUUCGGUGUGCCGGCGGUGGUCCGGUGAAGUUCCGGUGAAAAUUCCGGGCGAAGUGUUGGUGUACCGGCUAAGUUUCGGUGAAGGUCCGACGAUAGUUAAUUUAUAUUUAUAUAUUUUCAUAUUAAAUAAAUAAAUAAGUUUAUUUAUUUUAUUAAAUUUUUUAAAUCAUUCAUUAAAUUUGAUUAAUAUAAAAUUAUUUAUAAUAUUAAAUUGAUAAAAUAAAAUUAUAAAUAAUAAUAAUUAAUAACAUUAAAGAAGUUGAAAUGUUGAAGGGCAAUUUUGGAAACUUGUGUUUUCAACAUAAGAGGAAUUUAAAUUCUUCACUCUUUGGUGUGAAAUUUAAAUUCUACAUUAUAAGGGAUAUUAAAUUCUAAUAAAAAAUAAAUUCUUAUAUAUUUUGUGCAAUCAAACAAUGGAAAUAAAAGUAGAAUUUGAAUUACUUUCCUCUCCCCCAUUCUCUCUCCCCAACCAAACAUCCCCUCAAGGUUUAGUUAUCUCUUAGCAUUCUAAUAUCGUUCGUAAUUUAUGAAAAUUUUAUGAAAUUAUCUUUCCUACAAAAAUAAAUUGUUAAGUGAAAAAAAAUACUUCAUAUCAAAUUCUUACUCUUUACCAUUGACCUUUUUUUCCCAAAAAAAAAAUGCAACUUUUACGUGCUUUAGUGGAGAAAGAGUCAGUGAGAAAAAAUCAUAUAUGGAUUUAACAAGAUAAGAUUUUACAGCGAAUACAAUUCAGGAUACAAGGGAUAAAAUUGUAAAUGUAUAACAAGAGGGGUUUUAUAAGAAAAAUACAGGGCUGCCAAUAGUAUCACUCAAUAUUUAGACCAUCUACUUAUAUUGUAGUUUUAUGUCGUUUCAUACUUUUGAUUUCAAAUGGGCCGGUUUCAUAAUUAGACCAUCUACUUAUGUUGUAGUUUCAUACUUUCGAUUUCAAAUGAGCCGGUCUAACAAUUAGACCAUCUACUUUCAUCUGUUGAGUUUAACUGAUGAAGAAGAUACUCAAAAAUACAAACAAGAAAUUAAAAACAAAGGCAACAAGCAAGAGACAUGCAAAUUUAGAGUGCCCCUCUCUGUGUGGGGCUAAUGGUCAGUUUUGGAAUUAUCGUUCGAAUAGUCAAAAUUGAUUGUUUGAAAUUAACUACAAACGUGUGUACCUUGUUGUUCGGUAAAUUAUUUUAUUUGACUUCAGCCCGAGAUAUAUUAAUUUGGCACUUAAAAAUUAAGAAAAAAAAAGAAUAUUCUGGAUUAAACGAACUUGGAAAUUAAGAAGCUACACUUGUAAACCAAUUAUAUAGCCCGGAAAGACCUUGACUCCAAAAGAAAUCUACUUCAAUCUUUGGAAAAUUUUGAUACAAGUUCUAAAUUUUCCACGAGAUAUCCCAAAAUGUAAUUUUCAAACAAUUGUUGUUGGUGUUGUCGAGCUCGUUUUAGACGUUUAGGAAUUGUUAGAACUCGUAUAAGGACAAUGACACAAUGACACAAAUUACCAAUUUAUAGAGUAGAAAAUAACUUGUCAUGAAUAGAAGAAGACCAUUUAUUUAUACAUGGAAUUAUGGAUUAAUAAAAGUCUUUGCUCCUCGAAAACCAAUAAUUUUUAUUGAUUAUUUUAUUAUUUGAUUAUAUAUGUUGGACCAAAAAUAAAAUAAGCCUAAUAAUACCCAAAUAAAUUUAAUCACAAUAAGGCUCAUCUAAUAAAUUUUCUCUCAAUUAAACCCACAAAGUGCUGGACAAAUCACCUAAAAUGAUCUUCCUAAGUAACAAAUUUCAAAGCCCAAAAGAUGUCAACAAUACUAAUAAUAGUAUUUAAUUUUUUUUUUUUUGGUGGAUGAUUGAUACCAAUUAUAAACUUAGAAUAAAAAAAUUGAAUAAAUUUAAAAUUUUAUAUUACUUUUGAUAACAAGAUAAAUAUAAAUAGAUGACUAAUAAUUUUUCUACAAUUAAUCCUAAUUCUUCAUUUUUGAAUUUGAGUGGCCAACAAAUAAAAUUAUUUGAAAACUACUCUAUCCUGAGAGUUAUUGGUAGAUGUGUGAUUGCUAACCACCAGAAAAAAAUAACAAAAAAGAAAUUUAAUUGAGGAAAAUCAAAUAUCUAUAAAGAUUUGUACCAAUCAUGUACACAAAUCAAACUCCCUCUGAAGUGUUCUAAAGUGUAAAGACCAGAGAAGACCUUGACUCACUAUUGUGUUUGAAAACAAGUGUUGCUAUUCAACGCGGGAAGAAGAUGAUUAUGGGCCUGCUCAUGGUGUCCUUUUCCUGGGUUAAAGUGUCUAUAUGAACUUUAUAAGAACUUGCAGAAUCCAAUCAACCAAAAAAUUACAAUCAUGGAUCCGACUUCCUCCAUUUUCAGAUUGGCGGCCCUUGCAUGGGCUGUAAUAUUUACAUGCGAUAACGCUGCUGAUGGAAGUGGUACAUUUGUGACAGCAUCUGCUUUGUCACCCAUACAGUUAGAAAAGCAAGCUUUACGCAAGACAGGCUGGUGGAACAACAGCUUCAGGACGUCCAACAACCCUUCGGAUCAUUGCAUCUGGGAUGGCAUCACUUGCAAUUCAGCAGGAAGCGUGAUCGAGCUAAGCUUAUCAGAGUACGAUGUUGACCUCAAUGCGCAGGCACAGCUUAGACAAUUAAACUUCUCUUGCUUUCCGAACCUCGAAAUUCUGACAAUCCAGUUCUUUCGUCUUACUGGAAGCAUACCACCAGAAAUUAGUGCUCUUUCAAAACUCCAACUGCUGGACUUGUCCUCGAACGGGCUUACAGGUCACAUACGAAAUUAACUUCAUUACUGCAUAUUAUUUGAGCAAUCAUAUUUAAAUGGAUUAAGUUUGAGAGAAUACUGACAAAAACAAAGGUAAACCAGCCCUAUUUUAUCAUAUUAAUUGAAAAAAUGAUAAUAAUAAUUAACACGAUAAAUACAUCUGUUUGCCGUUGUUUUUACUUAUGUUCUAUCAGCGUUUAAAUUUCUUUAACAUUUUUUUUCAUUAAUUUCGUAAACUAAUGACAUAAAUGUACAAAAUAGGUAUAAUCCCUCCAGAGAUUGGGAAUCUGAAAAAUUUAAUCAAGUUGGACGUGGGCAGCAACAGCAUAAUUGGGCCUAUUCCUUCAGCUCUAGGGAGUUUGACCAAUCUGAGCAAUUUGGAUCUUUCCUCAAACAAACUUUCUGGGAAAAUUCCUCCAGAGAUAGCAAGUAUGAAGUAUCUAACCCAGUUGGACCUAUCAAAUAACAACAUACAAGGUUCAAUUCCCUGUGAGCUCACCAAGUUAUCUCAACUUGGUUAUCUCAAUCUUUCCUCUAACAAACUUUCUGGCCCAGUACCAUUUUCAAAAAAACAACUCUCAAGCAUGUACUCAGUAAGCCUCUAUCCCAACAAGGGUUUGUGCGGCAAUUUUAUUGGUCUUCCUUCAUGCCAUACGACCAAACCUGCCACUCUCUUUGUUGAAAUUUUUCUUCCCCUCACCAUAGUCCUCUCAGUCAUAGUCUUUGCAUGCUUACUACUUGCUAAACGUAAGUACAAGAAACCCAAACUCGAGGAAAGAGCAACCAAUAACAUAGAUGUAUUUUCAAUAUGGAAUUAUGAUGGUAGAAUUGUCUACGAGGAUCUGAUUGAAGCCACCGAAGAUUUUGACAUUAAAUAUUGCAUUGGUACCGGAGGCUAUGGCAGCGUCUACAAGGCACAGCUUCCCAACGGCAAGGUAUUUGCAUUGAAAAAGCUUCACACUUCAGAGGAAUUGGCGUUCAUCAAGAGUUUCCAAAACGAGGCUCAAGUGCUUUCUCAAGUACUGCACCGUAAUAUUGUUAAAUUAUACGGUUAUUGCUUGCACAGAAAAUGCAUGUUUCUCAUUUACGAGUACAUGGAGAGAGGAAGCUUGUUCUGCAAUUUACACAAUAAUGAGGACGCCGUGGAGUUGGAUUGGGCUAAGAGGGUGAACAUUGUAAAAGCCAUGGCACAUGCUUUGGCGUACUUGCAUCAUGACUGCUCACCAUCAAUUAUUCACCGCGACAUAUCGAGCAACAACAUUCUACUUAACUCAAAAUUGGAGGCAUUUGUUGCUGACUUUGGCACUGCCAGGCUUCUACACGCUGAUUCGUCCAAUCGAACUCUAUUAGCAGGAACAUAUGGAUAUAUAGCUCCAGGUUUACCCUUAUGAUAUCUAUUCUUCUCAUGAUCGAUCCUUUAUUUGGUUCAAUUUUAUUUUCUUUUACUUUAUAUUGCAGUCAUAUCCCAUAACAUCUCUCUUAAAUAGAUAGCCAGCUGGCUAGAGAAACUCACAAAUGGAAUUAUCUCCUUUAUUAGUGGGAAGCUACAUUCUAUGAUUACUUUGCCUCAUAUAAAUCUUCUUUUUUUUUUUUUUUUGUGGCAGAACUUGCCUACACCAUGGUUAUGACGGAGAAAUGUGAUGUUUAUAGCUUUGGAGUAGUGACACUUGAGGUAUUAAUGGGAAAGCAUCCAAGGGACCUUCUUUCAUCAUUGUCAUCAUCAUCUGAUCCAAAAAUCAUGCUGAUUGAUGUUUUAGACCAACGUCUUCCACCUCCAGUUGAUCGAAAGGUUAUUCGAGAUAUCCUUCUUGUUUCAACAGUUUCAUUUGCAUGCUUGCAAUCAAACCCAAAGUCUCGACCUACAAUGCAAUCCGUGUCUCAAGAAUUUCUCAUCACUCGCAAGACUCCAUUGGUAAAGCAUGCUGCUAUUCAAGAUAUUUCCAUCUCAGAACUUAGAAACUAAUAGAGGAUGUAUUUGAUUGAUCAAUAUGAUUGCUAAUCUUAAAUGUAUUUCAUUGAUAGUAUUUUGUAAAUCGUUGGUGAGGGUGAAUUUUGGUUUCAUGAAACCGUUACCUUUCUUGAAUAAAAAUGAAAGUAACGCUUCUAAAGUGAAGUUGGUGCUUCCAAUCUAAACGAUUACAUCUUUAAUUAUUUUUUCUGUGCGAAUUGCAUGUGCAAAUAAGGUCAGCAAGUUUUGCUACUGUGUUAGGAAAUCUUCUUCCACUCACAUUAUUUUUAUAAAUUAAUAUCGUGUGCAAUAUCUGCCUCUCGUUAUCAUCUUUCAACCGGACAAAUAAAUAAUCAUAACAAAUAGCAAUAAUUAUUGUAACUCAUGAGUUCACUGAACAGUAAAUCAAAGUGGGAAUAUUUCCAUAUUGUGGCAUGACAUGGGCUUUUCUUCUCAAUCAAAUUUUAAAAAAAAUUGGAUUCUCUAUUUCACUAUUUAAUUAAGUAGACUGCAAAUAUAAAUGUAGACAAAUUGUUAGCCUUGCUUCACAGAAGUUUCAUUGCAUGUCGUUUUGCAUUGGCGCAUAAGAGUGAUCAAUUGAUUGGAACGGCAAUGUUGAAGUUGAUCUGAUAAAAGUGAAAAUGACUAGAUAUUCCACCAUGUCUAAAUCCAAGAAAUUGAAGCACCAAUCAAGUGAUCAAAUUCUCUCAUAUAAUUAAUUAUCAUCACUUGGCCUGAAGGUCAUCAAGUAGGUACUCGGUUGACAAAUUAAAUUAGAUAGUUCUUUCAUAAAUGGUAAGGAAAUAUAACCUAAGAUUUUGGUGAUAUUUGGUAUUAAGUUAUUAUAACUUUUAAGCAUAGUCAUUGUGGAACAAAAUUAUAAUUAUGAAAAAAAUUGAGAGUACAUAAUCAAUUUAACUUUUAACUAAUAAUUUUGCCAAAAAUAAUAAAGAUAUUGUAGGCUUCUCAUCUUACAAGUGUGAGAUCAAAUCAACUUAACUUUUAUACCACAAUUGACAAUACUUAGUAAAUAAUUUUGUGCUGUAACUUAGAAAACUAUAACUACCCAACAUCGAUACCAAAUAGGACUUUAUUCUGUAAGCAUCAAUCAUUCUUUCCUUGUUUUAAAAUACUAGUCGUAUUAAGUCUUGAACUUGAAAUCAAUCUAACGGUACAUAGUUUUUUCCAAGUUCCAUCAGCACCAAAUUUUCCUCUGCUUCCUCUGUUUCUUCAGCUAAACGCCACUAAAGAUUUCAAAAUUAUUAGCUGUUUGUUUCAGGAUUUUAGCUAUCGGUAUGAUACAUCCGCUGAGACCCCGGGUGCAUUUUUUCCUUCUCAAAUAUUGAAAGACUCAACGAUCUUUCUUGAGUUUGUGUCUAAAGAGCAAGCUCUCCUCAACUCAUAGCCGUUAGAUUAGAUUCAUUUAGCUAUUCGACGGUCAAAAGGUAACAAGACUAAAAGUAAAGAGAGCCGUUGUGGGAUCCGCUUCAAUGAUGAAACCUGACAUGUCGCUAUCAAAUUUCUUUUAAAAUAUGUGGUGGCAUUUAUUUUUUAACUUAAUGACUUAAAGUGACUUAAUUUAAUUAAUUAAGUUAAUUAGAGGUGUUUAUUUUUAUAACUUAAUGAGACUUUUUAGAUAAUUUUGACUUAAUAAAAUAAUCUAAUUUUUUUUGACUUUUUACUUAAUGGAGAAAUUUGAAUUAAGUCAAUUACUUGCUAAUGUCAAAAAUAUCCUUGUUUUAUAAUUUAUUUUUCAUGUGUAUUCCAAAACUCACCCAUAGAUAUUUAACCCACAUAAAAAUAUCCAUGUUUUUUAUUUCUUAUAUUAUAUACGAUAAAAUUUGAAAUUUAUGGUAUUUUAUAUAUUAAAAUUUCAAAAUAAUUAUGUACACUUGAAUAUAGUUUUACUGAUAAAUAUUAAAAUAUUAUGGUAUUUAAUAUAUUAUUUAUUUGACAUUCAAAUUUAAUAAGGAUAUAAAUGUAACAGUAUAUAUUUUCGGCUUUUUAAGUUGAAAAAAAUAAAUAAUUUAAUACUUAUUUUUCGAGAUUCAGACGAAAAAACAAACAUAUUAUUUAAAUUCAGACAUUCAAAUAUAUUUAAAAUUCAGAUUAAUUCAAGUCUAUUCAAAUUUCAGAUAAAAAAACAAACGCCACUAAUUUAGUAGAAUUUGUGCCGCCCAAAUUUUUCGCGAUAAAAAACACGACAAACAAUUCAACCUAAAGUCCUAAACUACUACAACAGGGUCUUUGUAAAAUAUAUUAUCACUUAUGCCCCUUCAUUUAAAUUUUUCUAAACAUUAGGAACCUUCUUGCUAUUAUCUCAAAAGAAAUCAGGUUCUUCAAGCCCAUAAAUACCAAGUGUCAUUCACACUCUACUCAUAUUACAAAACCUAAACAAGAUAUAAUUCGGGGGGGGGGGGGGGGAAAUCAUAUCACAAAAUCAAAGUCUCUCACACUCUUAAGUUCUAAUACAGAGAUGGAGCAAGCUAGUAUUUGCGGAGCUGUGGCUUUGAUUCUCUUCAUUGCAGCGCUUCUCUCAAUGACAGCUGUCGUCAGUGCACAGGAUGUCGACCUGGCGCCGUCGCCAAGCAUGGACGCCGGAGCUGCGUUCCCGGUGACUGUUUCAGGUGGUUUUGUUUGCUCCUCACUCUUCUUCUCAGUCAUUACUCUACUAUUGCAGUAACAGGUUCUUGAGAGACUUGAGAGACUCAGAUUUUUAUUUUAUUUUAUAUUUAUUUUUAUUUUUAUUAUUAAGAUAUUUAUUACUUUUGAAAAUUUUGGCAAUUUUUUUAAUUGCUAUUUGGUGGGAGUGAGAAUAUUAGUUUUAAUAAUUCGAUUAUUUUUCCUCUAAUCUUUGGUUAGGGUUGUAUUUUCUUUUUAUUUUUUUUACGGUCUUGAUAUUAUAUUAUAUUUUAAUUAUAAAAAUUGGAAUUAUUAUUUAUCAUUUUGCAUCUCUCUUUAAGUAUAUUUAUCAUUGGGCUAUUAUAAGUAUUGUUAAUUUUAAGUAUAUUUAGUACAAUCGACUUUAAAUAAGAAAAAAAAAUCUAUGUGGGUGGUUAAAAUCUAAAAGUUAAUUGAAAAUCUAUUGCAAAUUAAUAAUUCAAAAUCCGUGUCAUUAUUUUAAGGCAAAAAUUUCUCAAGAAAAAUUGAACUGGGAUAGUUUUAUGUAGUUUCAUACUUUCAAUUUCAAAUGGACCGGUUUAGU